AACGAAGGGGGCUAGCGGUGUUCGGAAUUACUGGGCGUAAAGCGCACGUAGGCGGACUGUCAAGUCAGGGGUGAAAUCCCGGGGCUCAACCUCGGAACUGCCUUUGAUACUGUCAGUCUAGAGUCCGGAAGAGGUGGGUGGAAUUCCUAGUGUAGAGGUGAAAUUCGCAGAUAUUAGGAAGAACACCGGUGGCGAAGGCGGCCCACUGGUCCGGUACUGACGCUGAGGCGCGAAAGCGUGGGGAGCAAACAGG
This 253-nucleotide ribosomal RNA is filed under the name uncultured bacterium. RNAcentral's name for it is "partial 16S ribosomal RNA". It matches the Rfam family "Bacterial small subunit ribosomal RNA", at positions 524 to 776 of the family's 1533-position model. The record is from RNAcentral.